This 503-nucleotide ribosomal RNA is filed under the name uncultured bacterium. RNAcentral describes it as "bacterial SSU rRNA". It matches the Rfam family "Bacterial small subunit ribosomal RNA", at positions 23 to 523 of the family's 1533-position model. The record is from RNAcentral.
CUCAGAUUGAACGCUGGCGGCAUGCUUUACACAUGCAAGUCGAACGGUAACAGGCCGCAAGGUGCUGACGAGUGGCGAACGGGUGAGUAAUGCAUCGGAACGUGCCCAGUCGUGGGGGAUAACGCAGCGAAAGCUGCGCUAAUACCGCAUACGAUCUAUGGAUGAAAGCGGGGGACCGUAAGGCCUCGCGCGAUUGGAGCGGCCGAUGUCAGAUUAGGUAGUUGGUGGGGUAAAGGCUCACCAAGCCGACGAUCUGUAGCUGGUCUGAGAGGACGACCAGCCACACUGGGACUGAGACACGGCCCAGACUCCUACGGGAGGCAGCAGUGGGGAAUUUUGGACAAUGGGCGCAAGCCUGAUCCAGCAAUGCCGCGUGCAGGAAGAAGGCCUUCGGGUUGUAAACUGCUUUUGUACGGAACGAAAAGGCUCUGGUUAAUACCUGGGGCACAUGACGGUACCGUAAGAAUAAGCACCGGCUAACUACGUGCCAGCAGCCGCGGUAA